Etheostoma cragini (Arkansas darter) is the source of this 119-nucleotide long non-coding RNA. RefSeq lists it as uncharacterized. NCBI's taxonomy places the organism in Eukaryota, Metazoa, Chordata, Actinopteri, Perciformes, Percidae. The transcript is spliced from 3 exons. The record is from RefSeq and is a predicted model, not a curated record.
AUCACUCAAUGAGACAAAUGACUGGUCCCUGCUGCAGUGUGAGGUUCAGGGCUAUCCAGAACCUGAAGUAGAGUGGCGGGACAGUGCUGGAAACAAACUACCUGCUGAGAAGACCCAGG